CCCAGGUUAGUUCUUUUCUUUCUUAGUUUUCUUCACUCAGUUUCAGAGGUUUGCUUUUGCUUGGAAGCAGUCGACUAUGGACUUCUGAGAACAAAUGACUUGUUGCCUAGGGGGCUGAGUCGUCUCCCUAAAGCUUUCUGACAGCGCAGGUCCCUGGUACCAUGACCCUUGUGCCCCUGCCUUCUGUGGCUCUGUCCCUUGUCUUGGUUCAUUCCAACCUCACCAGGGUGAUGGCAUUGGAAUGGGGCCUGCGGGCUAAGGAUUUGGUAAGUGGAGAAUGAGGGGAAGGAUAUUUCAGGCUGAAGGAAUGUUAUAAACAAAGACAAGAGGGAUGGAAUUACAAGACACGUUAUGUGAGCCACAGAAGUCCAACAGUGCGGCUGAGAAGAAGAAACGAGACUGAAAAAGUCAUUUGUCAUCAGUCCUAAAGAGCCCACUCAGGAGUUUGGGCUUAUUUCAGGAAACAUGGAGUGUGUAAAUACGAGGCACAGCGUCAGAAGUGUUCUAUCCCCUGUUUGUAUCUCUAGACUGGUUUAUUUCCUGGUCAAAGACAGGGAAAGGCAAGCAGUGUGUAGCAAGCUGAAGAGUUUGACAAAUCUGCCCGACCUCGUGCCUGGGGAACCGAGGUAACAGCUGCAUAGACAUGAGCACACUGGGAACCAGGAAGAGGUCCUCUCAGACUGAGCUGCGGAGGUCUGAUUUUUCUUUCCUUGCUUUCUGAGGUGUUGACACUGGCUAUCCAGGUGUGGAAUCUUCAGUGGUGACAUAUGAGCUCAGGGACUUCACCAGAGCCGAAGGCGGCCAUGUGGUUGUGAAAAGGCACUAUAAAUGAGGCUGGUUCCUUCUUGAAUACUAUGUCCCUCCUGCCCCCGCUUAACCACCUUCAUAUCUCUUACUCGGGGAAUGAUUCUGAUCUUCCAGAGUGACUGUUGUGACUGGCUAAAGAAAGCAACCGUUCAGUUCCUAAGACAUGACCAUUUUGAAUGGGCACCGAGACACUUUCCAUCCAACAGGGAACAUUUUAACCUUCUUAAGUGGCUGAAAAGCUAACUAUCCCUGAUAGGUGAUCAGCGUGAUCCUCUGUCAUUAAUUUAGCCUCUGGCUGCUUUGAUUUCAGAAUGAUAUCAGAGAACUUGGUGGAGAAGGCCCUGCACCAGCCCACAGAGGAGCUUCCCCAGGCUGCCUCUGGUUAAAAUAGAUGUAUUGGAUCAGGUUAAAAGACUUGCUGCCCAGCCCUGGCUUAAAAGUCUAAGACAAAGAUUUAACAAGGAGGAAAACAGAAGAAGGUGGUGUGAGGGUUCUUUUUUUUUUAAAAGAAAAAUGAAUUAAGUAUGGACAUUUACUUUGAAGAGACACUGAAUUGCGCAUAGCAGAAAGGCGAAAGGGGAGUAGAGGUGUCUCAGUGUUUGCUGCCAUGUCUCAGCUGGCUGGCUCUACUAAGACUUGAAUACUCCACUCAAGAAGGCUGUGCUUGAGGCUGCCUGGCCCACUCUUCUUGGAAGUCAGACUCCAAUAAUGCUCUCAGGAGGUCUCAGCCUCACCCCAAGUG
Long non-coding RNA from Bubalus bubalis (water buffalo), 1549 nucleotides. RefSeq lists it as uncharacterized. The record is from RefSeq and is a predicted model, not a curated record. Lineage: Eukaryota; Metazoa; Chordata; Mammalia; Artiodactyla; Bovidae. The transcript has 2 exons.